Molecule: ribosomal RNA, 261 nt
Filed under: uncultured Eubacteriales bacterium
Lineage: Bacteria; Bacillati; Bacillota; Clostridia; Eubacteriales
Description: uncultured Clostridiales bacterium partial 16S ribosomal RNA
Rfam family: Bacterial small subunit ribosomal RNA
Source: RNAcentral
UACGUAAGGUCCGAGCGUUGUCCGGAAUCAUUGGGCGUAAAGGGUACGUAGGCGGGUAAGCAAGUUAGAAGUGAAAUCCUAUAGCUCAACUAUAGUAAGCUUUUAAAACUGCUCAUCUUGAGGUAUGGAAGGGAAAGUGGAAUUCCUAGUGUAGCGGUGAAAUGCGCAGAUAUUAGGAGGCAUACCGGUGGCGAAGGCGACUUUCUGGCCAUAACCUGACGCUGAGGUACGGAAGCGUGGGUAGCAAACAGGAUUAGAUAC